Molecule: small nucleolar RNA, 70 nt
Organism: Rhincodon typus (whale shark)
Lineage: Eukaryota; Metazoa; Chordata; Chondrichthyes; Orectolobiformes; Rhincodontidae
Product: small nucleolar RNA SNORD2
Exons: 1
Source: RefSeq, a predicted model, not a curated record
AGGCGAAAUGAUGGCUUCUAUCUUUUCGGGUCUCGUAUGUAAUGAAGAGAAACCUCUUUACUGAUCACUU